UACGUAGGGAGUGAGCGUUGUCCGGAAUUACUGGGCGUAAAGGGUGCGUAGGCGGCAUGGCAAGUCAGAUGUGAAAUCCCCGGGCUUAACUCGGGAGUUGCAUUUGAAACUGCCGUGCUUGAGUGCAGGAGAGGAAAGCGGAAUUCCUAGUGUAGCGGUGAAAUGCGUAGAGAUUAGGAAGAACACCAGUGGCGAAGGCGAUUCUCUGGACUGUAACUGACGCUGAGGCUCGAAAGCGUGGGGAGCAAACAGGAUUAGAUA
RNAcentral lists this ribosomal RNA (261 nucleotides) under uncultured prokaryote. Its description in RNAcentral is "partial 16S ribosomal RNA". It matches the Rfam family "Bacterial small subunit ribosomal RNA", at positions 524 to 784 of the family's 1533-position model. The record is from RNAcentral.